UGAGUAACACGUGGAUAACCUGCCUCAAGGCUGGGGAUAACAUUUGGAAACAGAUGCUAAUACCGAAUAAAACUUAGUAUCGCAUGAUACAAAGUUGAAAGGCGCUACGGCGUCACCUAGAGAUGGGUCCGCGGUGCAUUAGUUAGUUGGUGGGGUAAAGGCCUACCAAGACAAUGAUGCAUAGCCGAGUUGAGAGACUGAUCGGCCACAUUGGGACUGAGACACGGCCCAAACUCCUACGGGAGGCUGCAGUAGGGAAUCUUCCACAAUGGGCGAAAGCCUGAUGGAGCAACGCCGCGUGUGUGAUGAAGGCUUUAGGGUCGUAAAGCACUGUUGUAUGGGAAGAAAUGCUAGAAUAGGGAAUGAUUCUAGUUCGACGGUACCAUACCAGAAAGGGACGGCUAAAUACGUGCCAGCAGCCGCGGUAAUACGUAUGUCCCGAGCGUUAUCCGGAUUUAUUGGGCGUAAAGCGAGCGCAGACGGUUGAUUAAGUCUGAUGUGAAAGCCCGGAGCUCAACUCCGGAAUGGCAUUGGAAACUGGUUAACUUGAGUGUUGUAGAGGUAAGUGGAACUCCAUGUGUAGCGGUGGAAUGCGUAGAUAUAUGGAAGAACACCAGUGGCGAAGGCGGCUUACUGGACAACAACUGACGUUGAGGCUCGAAAGUGUGGGUAGCAAACAGGAUUAGAUAC
This 690-nucleotide ribosomal RNA is filed under the name Leuconostoc lactis. RNAcentral's name for it is "bacterial SSU rRNA". It matches the Rfam family "Bacterial small subunit ribosomal RNA", at positions 107 to 785 of the family's 1533-position model. Lineage: Bacteria; Bacillati; Bacillota; Bacilli; Lactobacillales; Lactobacillaceae. The record is from RNAcentral.